GACGAACGCUGGCGGCGUGCUUAACACAUGCAAGUCGAACGGAGAGGCCCUGCUUUUGUGGGGUGUCCGAGUGGCGAACGGGUGUGUCACACGUGAGACAUCUGCCUUUGACUUUGGGAUAACUUCAGGACACUGGGUCAAAUAUCGGAUGGGAGCCCACGCCGCAUGGUGGGGGUUGGAAUGUUUCGGCGGUUGGGGAUGGCUUAGCGGCUUAUCAGCUUGUUGGUGGGGUAGUGGCUUACCAAGGCGUUGACGGGUAGCCGGCCUGAGAGGGUGACCGGCCACACUGGGACUGAGAUACGGCCCAGACUCCUACGGGAGGCAGCAGUGGGGAAUAUUGCACAAUGGGCGGAAGCCUGAUGCAGCAACGCCGCGUGCGGGAUGACGGCCUUCGGGUUGUAAACCGCUUUUGCCAGGGACGAAGCGUGAGUGACGGUAAUGGGAAAAGAAGCACCGGCUAACUACGUG
Molecule: ribosomal RNA, 468 nt
Filed under: uncultured bacterium
Lineage: Bacteria
Description: partial 16S ribosomal RNA
Rfam family: Bacterial small subunit ribosomal RNA
Source: RNAcentral